ACGCCAGACUCCUACGGGAGGCAGCAGUGGGGAAUAUUGGGCAAUGGGGGAAACCCUGACCCAGCGACGCCGCGUGAGGGAAGAAGGUUUUCGGAUUGUAAACCUCUGUCCUUGGUGACGAUAAUGACGGUAGCCAAGGAGGAAGCCACGGCUAACUACGUGCCAGCAGCCGCGGUAAUACGUAGGGGGCAAGCGUUAUCCGGAUUUACUGGGUGUAAAGGGAGCGUAGACGGCAGAGCAAGUCUGAAGUGAAAGCCCGCGGCCCAACUGCGGGACUGCUUUGGAAACUGCCCGGCUAGAGUGCUGGAGAGGUAAGCGGAAUUCCUAGUGUAGCGGUGAAAUGCGUAGAUAUUAGGAGGAACACCAGUGGCGAAAGCGGCUUACUGGACAGUAACUGACGUUGAGGCUCGAAAGCGUGGGGAGCAAACAGGAUUAGAUACCCCCGUAU
Molecule: ribosomal RNA, 448 nt
Filed under: uncultured bacterium
Lineage: Bacteria
Description: bacterial SSU rRNA
Rfam family: Bacterial small subunit ribosomal RNA
Source: RNAcentral